CUCAAUGGACAUGAGUUUGGAUGAACUCCGGGAGUUGGUGAUGAACAGGGAAGCCUGGCAUGCUGUGGUUCGUGGGGUUGCAAAGAGUCGGACACGACUGAGCGACUAAACUGAUACUGAACUGAUGAAGGUUCCUUGGUCAUCAGGGUGUACUUUCAUCAGUGACUGAAGUAGCUGAAGACUUGAUCCUUGCAGAACCUGAUAGCGAGCAACAUUCUUUGACUUACAAAAA
Molecule: long non-coding RNA, 232 nt
Organism: Cervus elaphus (red deer)
Lineage: Eukaryota; Metazoa; Chordata; Mammalia; Artiodactyla; Cervidae
Exons: 2
Source: RefSeq, a predicted model, not a curated record